This 72-nucleotide transfer RNA is filed under the name Ovis aries (sheep). It matches the Rfam family "tRNA". From Rfam's summary of the family: Transfer RNA (tRNA) molecules are approximately 80 nucleotides in length. Their secondary structure includes four short double-helical elements and three loops (D, anti-codon, and T loops). The record is from Rfam by way of RNAcentral. Lineage: Eukaryota; Metazoa; Chordata; Mammalia; Artiodactyla; Bovidae.
UCGCUGUUAGCUCAGUUGGUAAAGAAUCUGCCUGCAAUGCAGGAGACCCUGGUUUGAUUCCUGGGUAGGGAA